Molecule: small nuclear RNA, 107 nt
Organism: Panthera leo (lion)
Lineage: Eukaryota; Metazoa; Chordata; Mammalia; Carnivora; Felidae
Source: Ensembl
GUGCUGGCUUCAGAAGCACAUAUACUAAAAUUGGAACAAUACAGAGAAGAUCAGCAUGGCCCUUGCACAAGGGUAACAUGCAAAUCUGUGAAGUGUCCCAUUUUUGU